CGGUGGCGAUACCGAAGAGGUCACACCCGUUCCCAUCUCGAACACGGAAGUUAAGCUCUUCAGGGCCGAUGAUACUGCACCUGCGAGGGUGUGGGAAAGUAGGACGUUGCCG
Molecule: ribosomal RNA, 112 nt
Filed under: marine eukaryotic metagenome
Source: RNAcentral